Long non-coding RNA from Daphnia carinata, 801 nucleotides. RefSeq lists it as uncharacterized. The transcript is spliced from 2 exons. Lineage: Eukaryota; Metazoa; Arthropoda; Branchiopoda; Diplostraca; Daphniidae. The record is from RefSeq and is a predicted model, not a curated record.
AUAUGCAAUCACCACGUGCAAUAACUUCACGGGAUUCCAAUAGUCAGCCAUAGUACAGUAUGGCCAGUACAGUAUGGCACAGCUGUGCCAUACUGUACUGGUUACUGUGCUGCACAGUAACCAUUAUAUAGAUCCAAUACGGAAUAACAGCUUUGGUUUUAAAAUGCGAUGGCAAUGUAAAAGUAAAACUCGAUAAGGGAAAAUAGCGUAACCGUCAUUUUAGACUAGUGACAAAAUAUAUGCGCGCGGGCGUUGAGCCAUCGUGUUUCUGAAUAUGUAAUCGUAGUAGGUCGCUGAUAGCUGGUGCUGCUGAUAGUUAGAAAUUUCGUACGGAAUAGCGAUAAGAGUUUUGUCGACAAAAAAGACAACAACAUCGGGCCAUACAGUGCAAUAAGAUGGCGAGCUUUCAAACCGACUUCUUCGUUAUGUCAAGAUUUCCUUCUGUUUUCCUGGUGAGUUGCAUAAAUUCCACGUUAAAUCUGGUGCAAUUCGUGCGCACGAACUUAGUCGAAACAGUAGUUUGAUUUAGCUCGUUCGCUGAUGCUUGGUUGAAACACACUUUUAUCUACUAGACAGCUUAUUGUUGACGAAAAAUGUUGCUGAAAAGUUGAAAAGAAAACUAACUUUUUCAGAUGUGCCACUGCUCUAGAAAAGAAAAAGAUAAAUUCGGCGGAUUCAAAACUGACGAUUUGAGUAUCAAUAUUUAAUUAGAUACCAAAAGUUCUAUGUACAAAAUUCACAGGCAUGCCGAAUCGAUGAAAAUUGUAAGGUUAAAAAAAAGAACAAAAAAAAAAAGAUAAA